RNAcentral lists this ribosomal RNA (116 nucleotides) under Labrus bergylta (ballan wrasse). The record is from RNAcentral. Lineage: Eukaryota; Metazoa; Chordata; Actinopteri; Labriformes; Labridae.
GCUUACGGCCAUACCACCCUGAACACGCCCGAUCUCGUCCGAUCUCGGAAGCUAAGCAGGUCGGGCCUGGUUAGUACUUGGAUGGAGACCGCCUGGGAAUACCAGUGCUGUAAGCU